CUUGGUGAGAUUGUUCACGUGUUUUGGAAGGAUCUUAUUAAAUAAUAUUUCUACAUAUGUACAAGAAUGAAUAUACUGUUUGAAAAAGAAAGAAUUAUGAAGAAGGAAGAGUAAAAAAUUCGAAAGUUAGAGUCAAUCACAUGAUUUUAAAUCAAGAGAAAAUCAAGAAAAUAUUGAAUAUAAUAUCGACCGAAGAAAAGAAAUAUCAAGAAUGGAAUAUUAUAAAAACAAGGCAAUAUAGACUGUAAGAGAAGACUGAAUAAGACAAUAUAAAUGUAA
Atta colombica is the source of this 279-nucleotide long non-coding RNA. RefSeq lists it as uncharacterized. NCBI's taxonomy places the organism in Eukaryota, Metazoa, Arthropoda, Insecta, Hymenoptera, Formicidae. The record is from RefSeq and is a predicted model, not a curated record. The transcript has 3 exons.